UACGGAGGAUCCGAGCGUUAUCCGGAUUUAUUGGGUUUAAAGGGUGCGUAGGCGGCACAGUAAGUUAGCGGUGAAAUCUGGGGGCUCAACCCCCAAACUGCCGUUAAAACUGCUGAGCUAGAGAGUAGAUGCGGUAGGCGGAAUGUGUGGUGUAGCGGUGAAAUGCUUAGAGAUCACACAGAACCCCGAUUGCGAAGGCAGCUUACCAAUCUAUAUCUGACGUUGAGGCACGAAAGCGUGGGUAGCAAACAGGAUUAGAUACCCUGGUAGUCCACGCAGUAAACGAUGAUAGCUCGUUGUCGGCGAUACACAGUCGGUGACUUAGCGAAAGCGUUAAGCUAUCCACCUGGGGAGUACGUUCGCAAGAAUGAAACUCAAAGGAAUUGACGGGGGCCCGCACAAGCGGAGGAACAUGUGGUUUAAUUCGAUGAUACGCGAGGAACCUUACCCGGGCUUGAAAGUUAUUGACGGAGGUCGAAAGAUCUCUUCCCUUCGGGGCAAGAAACUAGGUGCUGCAUGGUUGUCGUCAGCUCGUGCCGUGAGGUGUCGGAUUAAGUUCCAUAACGAGCGCAACCCUUGCCGUUAGUUGCCAUCAGGUCAAGCUGGGCACUCUAACGGGACUGCCGGUGUAAACCGCGAGGAAGGUGGGGAUGACGUCAAAUCAGCACGGCCCUUACGUCCGGGGCGACACACGUGUUACAAUGGUCGGUACAGAGGGCAGCUACCCAGCGAUGGGAUGCGAAUCUCGAAAGCCGAUCUCAGUUCGGAUCGGAGGCUGAAACUCGCCUCCGUGAAGUUGGAUUCGCUAGUAAUCGCGCAUCAGCCAUGGCGCGGUGAAUACGUUCCCGGGCCUU
Molecule: ribosomal RNA, 854 nt
Filed under: uncultured bacterium Of14
Lineage: Bacteria; Pseudomonadati; Bacteroidota; Bacteroidia; Bacteroidales; Bacteroidaceae
Description: SSU rRNA
Rfam family: Bacterial small subunit ribosomal RNA
Source: RNAcentral